CGCACCUUGCACCUUUUGGUAUUCCGAAAGGUAUGCCUGUUUGAGUGUCAUGAAAUCUCACUCCCCUCGGGUUUUACGACCUGGGUGGGAUGUGGACUUGGGCGUCUGUCUGUUACAAGACUCGCCUUAAAUGGAUUAGUGGGAAGAUCACCAACGGUUUAGACGUAAUAAGUUUCGUCUCUGCCAGGUGUGACGUCCGCUCAUAACCCCCAAUACUUUAUGACUCUGACCUCAAAUCAGGUAGGGCUACCCGCUGAACUUAA
This 263-nucleotide unclassified non-coding RNA is filed under the name Sirobasidium brefeldianum. Its description in RNAcentral is "partial contains 5.8S ribosomal RNA, internal transcribed spacer 2, and large subunit ribosomal RNA". Lineage: Eukaryota; Fungi; Basidiomycota; Tremellomycetes; Tremellales; Sirobasidiaceae. The record is from RNAcentral.